RNAcentral lists this long non-coding RNA (2821 nucleotides) under Homo sapiens (human). Its description in RNAcentral is "HSALNT0381787". Lineage: Eukaryota; Metazoa; Chordata; Mammalia; Primates; Hominidae. The record is from RNAcentral.
GGACAGGGGUGGGAGCGGGGGUUGGGGGGUGAUCCAGGCCUCCCUCCUGCCCACCGUUCCGCCCCACCCUGCCCUGCCCACACGUGCCCCGCAGAGCUCCAUUUCCUGAGGUCUGGAAUAAAGCCUUUGGAUCUUGAGUUCUUUGUCAGAGGGCAAAUAUCCCUGAGAAACCAGGCUAAGUCCGUCAGAGGAGGGAAGUAGGGCAAGUGCCGGAAGGGGACUGAGAAAGGGAAAGGUGGAAAAUGGGAGGAUAAAGCCUCCUGCAAAGGUAUCAGGAGGAGGGAGCAGAGCCGCCCCACUCAAGCUGCAGGCCUGCCCUGCCUCACAUCCUCUGUGCCAGCCUCCACCCAGGUGGCCCUGCAGGAGUGCAGGCCCCACCCCAACACCUUCUCUCAGGCAGAAGAGGGGCUCCAGGAGCAAGGGGAGCAAGGCUGAAUGGGAUCACUGCCCUGGCAACUUUCCAGGGCAGCCAGGAGAGGGGCAUGUGCUCCUGGUCCAUUCCAUACCCCGUCCCCCACCUCCUUGACCAUCAUCCCCUAGUUCCCUGGCCUCUGGUUGGGGUGAGGGAGCGGGAGCCUCUGCAAGAGUUUGGAGGGAGGUCAGGUGCCCUUGGCCAUUAUCUUCAUGACCUUCCAGCCAUCCCCUUAAAUCUGUUCUUUUGAGAGGCCCUUCAAAUGACCCCAGGAAACCAGGGUCAGACAUUGGCAUUGAGGAUUGAGUCCACCCAGCUCUCCCAUUCACAGAUGGAGAAGGUGAAGCACAGAGGGCCUACGCACUGAAAUCUCUCCUGUCUACGGCCGCCAGGUGAAUCGUGCCAAGACGCCGCUUUCACCGGUUAGAAGAACUUCAUUCCGUGGUUCUCUACUGCAUAGGGGCUGAUGGCCAGUGUCACUCAUUCAGGACACACCCCCACCUGGCUUCUGGCCCCUUCUUCCCUGUGAUUGGAGACAUUUGCUAACCACCGUCAUCUCCCUUGUACUACAGAGCAGCUUUUUCCUCUCUACUAGAUCGGGCAUUGCCUUCCUCUUCAAGGUAAUGGGAAACUGACCCCACCUGGGUCUCGUUCCAUGUCCUGAUGUACCUGUAGACAUGCUCUGUGGCCCCAGCAAGUCCCUUUCUCUCUUUGGCCCCUCCUUCUCCUAUGCUCACCUUUAUUUACAUCUCAGGCCCCUUGUCUUGGCCCAGUGGUGACCAAGGAGAAAGUUCUGCUCACCUAAGACUUAGCACUAGGCAGGUGCCUCUGGCACAGCCUCCUUCCUUUGGGAGCUGGCGGGACUGUGUGAUCCUGGGGCGCCCUCUCGUGGUUGAAGAUGCUCACAAACCUCGUCUGAAAUCUCUCCUGUCUACGGCCGCCAGGUGAAUCGUGCCAAGACGCCACUUUCACAGGGCUUUGGGCUCUAUUUUCACCUUGAAAAAGUGGCGUUGAAUUGUCUUUGUUCUCAGCAGAGAGCUGACACCUGUUCUUCUCAGCGCCUCCUGCACUCGCGGGCUGAGCGGCCCACUUCUGCACUGAUGCUGCUGUCUUCUCGUGCUUCUGCCUUGUUUCAGAUAUGUAAGUUACAUCUCUCCAACUCUGCUGUAAGCUUUCAUGCUUUAAAUUUCUUCACUGAAUUUUGCCAUACACAAAAGUAUUCACUGAGCACCUCAUGUGGCCCAGGCUCUUCGCUUCUUACCCACCUGGAGCUUUCAGUCCAACACGAGUGUCACACAAUGAACAUGGAAGCAGCAGAUGAAUGCAUUACAGAUAUGCCAUGAGGGAAUACACAGGGAACAGGGAUGCUGCCAAGGGCUCUCUGAGGAUGGGGAGCCAGCCCCGCCUCAGGAGGAUCUGGGGAAGGGUGGUCCAGGUCAGGGAAUAGUAAGAGGCUGGUCCUGUUUGAGGCCCUGAGAAGAAGCCAGGGUUGCUCCACCAAAGAGAGGAGCACAGGAUGAGGCUGGAGGGGCAGGAGGGCUUAGAUCCUCUAGGGCUUUUUUGUUUUGUUUUGUUUUUAGAGAGAGGGUCUCCCUCUGCUGCCCAGAUGUCUCACUCUGCUACAGUACAGUGGUGCAGUCAUACAUAGCUCAGUUGCAGCCUCAAAUUCCCGGGCUUAUGUGAUCCUCCCACCUCAGCCUCCUGGGAGUAGCUGGGACUACAGGAGUGUGCCACCAUGCCUGGCUAAUUAUUAACUUUUUUUGUAGAGAUAGGCUCUCCCUAUGUUGCCCAGUCUGGUCUCAAACUCCUGGGCUCAAAUGAUCCUCCCACUUCAGCCUCCUGAAUAGCUAGGACUACAUGUAUGCACCACAACACUUGGCCAGCUUUUUUUUUUUUUUUCCUGUCUUGAGACUGAGCCUCAGUCCGUUGCCCAGGCUGGAGUGCAGUGGCGCGAUCGCAGCUCACUGCAACCUUCACCUCCUGGGUUCAAGAGAGUCUCCUGCCUCAGUCUCCCGAGUAGCUGGGACCACAGGUGUGCACCACCACGCCUGGCUAAUGUUUGUAUUUUUAGGAGAGGUGGAGGUCUCAAACUUCUGGCCUCAAGUGAUCCGCCCACCUCAGCCUCCCAAAGUGCUGGGAUUAUAGGUGUGAGCCACUGCGGCUGGGCUAAUUUUGUUUUUUGUAGAGACAAGUUCUCACUAUGUUGCCCAGGCUAGUCUUGAACUCCUGGGCUCAAGUGAUCCUCCUGCCUUGGCCUCCCAAAGUGUUAGGAUUACAGAAGUAAGCUUCUGGGCUCAGCUCACAUUUUUUAAUACAUUUUAUUACAUUUAUAUGUAUGGUUUUUACCUACAUGCCAACUUAGCACAUCAUAUAUAUAUAUAUAUAUAUAUACACACACACACACACACA